UAGGGAAUCUUCGGCAAUGGGGGCAACCCUGACCGAGCAACGCCGCGUGAGUGAAGAAGGUUUUCGGAUCGUAAAGCUCUGUUGUAAGUCAAGAACGGGUGUGAGAGUGGAAAGUUCACACUGUGACGGUAGCUUACCAGAAAGGGACGGCUAACUACGUGCCAGCAGCCGCGGUAAUACGUAGGUCCCGAGCGUUGUCCGGAUUUAUUGGGCGUAAAGCGAGCGCAGGCGGUUUGAUAAGUCUGAAGUUAAAGGCUGUGGCUCAACCAUAGUUCGCUUUGGAAACUGUCAAACUUGAGUGCAGAAGGGGAGAGUGGAAUUCCAUGUGUAGCGGUGAAAUGCGUAGAUAUAUGGAGGAACACCGGUGGCGAAAGCGGCUCUCUGGUCUGUAACUGACGCUGAGGCUCGAAAGCAUGGGUAGCGAACAGGAUUAGAUACCCUGGUAGUCCAUGCCGUAAACGAUGAGCGCUAGGUGUUGGGGACUUUCCGGUCCUCAGUGCCGCAGCAAACGCAUUAAGCGCUCCGCCUGGGGAGUACGACCGCAAGGUUGAAAC
This 554-nucleotide ribosomal RNA is filed under the name uncultured bacterium. Its description in RNAcentral is "partial 16S ribosomal RNA". It matches the Rfam family "Bacterial small subunit ribosomal RNA", at positions 355 to 900 of the family's 1533-position model. The record is from RNAcentral.